RNAcentral lists this ribosomal RNA (323 nucleotides) under uncultured bacterium. RNAcentral's name for it is "bacterial SSU rRNA". It matches the Rfam family "Bacterial small subunit ribosomal RNA", at positions 29 to 357 of the family's 1533-position model. The record is from RNAcentral.
AAUGAACGCUGGCGGCGUGCCUAACACAUGCAAGUCGAGCGAGAAAGUUUCUUCGGAAAUGAGUAAAGCGGCGGACGGGUGAGUAACACGUGAGAACUUGCCCUUUGAUGGAGAAUACCUUCGAGAAAUCGAGGUUAAUACUGCAUAAGUCCCUUCGGGGAGAAAGAUGGCUUUAUGCUGUCGUCAAAGGAUAGGCUUGCGGACUAUUAGCUAGUUGGUGAGGUAAAGGCUCACCAAGGCGAUGAUGGUUAACCGGCCUGAGAGGGUGAACGGUCACAUUGGAACUGAGAUACGGUCCAAACUCCUACGGGAGGCAGCAGUGA